Molecule: non-coding RNA, 93 nt
Organism: Crassisporium funariophilum
Lineage: Eukaryota; Fungi; Basidiomycota; Agaricomycetes; Agaricales; Crassisporiaceae
Source: the annotation of a GenBank genome assembly
UCGAGUAUGGUGUAACGGCUAACAUUACCGCCUUUCAUGAAGUGACAGCACCAAACACCGCGGUAGCUCGGGGUUCGAUUCCCCGUACUCGAA